AAGGAUGCAGCUCAGUGGUACAGCACUUGCCUAGUAUGCACAAGAUCCUGGGUUCCAUUCCCAGCAUCAUAA
RNAcentral lists this transfer RNA (72 nucleotides) under Heterocephalus glaber (naked mole-rat). It matches the Rfam family "tRNA". From Rfam's summary of the family: Transfer RNA (tRNA) molecules are approximately 80 nucleotides in length. The record is from Rfam by way of RNAcentral. Lineage: Eukaryota; Metazoa; Chordata; Mammalia; Rodentia; Bathyergidae.